AGGAUUAGAUACCCUGGUAGUCCACGCCCUAAACGAUGUCAACCAGCCGUUGGGUUCAUUUAAGGAUUCAGUGGCGCAGCUAACGCGUUAAGUUGACCGCCUGGGGAGUACGGCCGCAAGGUUAAAACUCAAAGGAAUUGACGGGGGCCCGCACAAGCGGUGGAGCAUGUGGUUUAAUUCGAUGCAACGCGAAGAACCUUACCAGGCCUUGACAUCCUUGAAAUUCCGCAGAGAUGCGGAAGUGCCUUCGGGAAUCAAGAGACAGGUGCUGCAUGGCUGUCGUCAGCUCGUGUCG
Molecule: ribosomal RNA, 295 nt
Filed under: uncultured bacterium
Lineage: Bacteria
Description: partial 16S ribosomal RNA
Rfam family: Bacterial small subunit ribosomal RNA
Source: RNAcentral